AGUUGCUCUGUGGAGCACUCUUCUCCUCAGGAGGGAUGUUCUCCUCUGCUGAUGACGAUCAAUUACAGACACAGACACCCGUAUCAGAUCAGCACCAUAUGGACAUUUUACUCACCAGUCUGGUUGAUGUUUCCUUCAGUGUGAUCCACAAUAUCAGCCCAACUUUUAAUGGCUUCAGGAUCGACUGUCAUUUCCACGGCAUUUCCUGCAAUAAAAUGUUUAGCGAUUCAGCCUCGAUCUUGUCAGUAUAAAGGAGCAUUAGACGCUUAACGGCUUCUACCUCAGCUUCGAUUUUCGGUCUCAGUUUCCAGAUGGUCAUCUGUGUCCAACAGCUCAAACAUCUCCUCUUCUACUUUAACAUGAAAUAAAUAUCAACAAUUACAGAAAUGAA
Molecule: long non-coding RNA, 391 nt
Organism: Pygocentrus nattereri (red-bellied piranha)
Lineage: Eukaryota; Metazoa; Chordata; Actinopteri; Characiformes; Serrasalmidae
Exons: 4
Source: RefSeq, a predicted model, not a curated record